Molecule: long non-coding RNA, 5222 nt
Organism: Passer domesticus (house sparrow)
Lineage: Eukaryota; Metazoa; Chordata; Aves; Passeriformes; Passeridae
Exons: 3
Source: RefSeq, a predicted model, not a curated record
UCCUGGGCGGGUGCAGCACCGCCCCCGCAGCCCUGCUGUGUGGAGGAGCGGCUCGGCGAGGGAGGGGAGGUGCCAGCAAGGUGAGAAGGGUCUUUUGCUCCUUUAUUAUUCUGCAAAGGGCGCUCAGGGCUUGGUGCUCUUCUCCAGAAGUGGGAUAUUGCAUUGGGAAGGGAGACUGGAGAGCCUGGCCUGGCGGGGUAGGGACCUGGGCAGUGUACCAGGACAGGGGAGGCUCAGAAUUUGGAACCACUGUGGUUAGAGAGUGUCCCUGUAUCAAUGUCCAAAAUACUUGAGUCUCACAAUUGCUAUUGCAUUUUUUAAAACCUUUUUUUUCUCUGUAUCACUACAGCCAGAGUGAGGACUCUGGUGGUAGCUGAGGGGCGCAGGCAGCAGGGACUGGCGCUGUUUGCCCUGCACAUCCCACACUGGUGAGCCAGCCAGCCCAGCGUGUCCAUCUGCCACCACAGCCCAGGGACCAGCACCAGCCGUGGGCCUCAGGGUGUAACUGCCCUUCCUGAGGCCCGGGCCAUUCCUCCAGGCAGCCAUGGACUGUACAGCUGAGGACUGUGUUGCCUUUGUAGGAAAGGCUUGCAGCUGUGGCUCAUUGGCUGCUGGCUGAGCUCUCCUCACUGAUUUGAGCACUGCAGUACCUUCCCUGCAUGCCCUUCUAUUGCAAAGACAAGUGCAAGAAGGGCAGCGGACAGGCAGGCAUGUGGCCAGAGACUGCACUCCCCUGCUGUGAGUAAAGUGACAAAAUCACAUACACCACCUCACCCCUUCCACCCAAAGCAGGACCCCACAUGCCAUAUCCUAGCCUUUGAACUCAUUAGUCUUGAUGCAGUUUCACAUGCACAAACCCAGAACUUUGUUACUAAACUGAAAUCAUGUGCGCAGGCUGUUCCUAAAGAAAUGCCAGUCAUCUACCCAAGUAAAAGUCUGAAUUGCUAACUGCUCGCUGGCCUAAGCAUAAACAUGAAUUGAGGUUCAGGAAAAGGAGGUGUUUGUUCCUGGCUCAGCUCAGUAGCUUCUAGUCACCAUCUGCAAAUCUCUUAGAUAUUCCAUAAAUAGCAGAUUACUAUUCUUUAACUCUUUUGCCAGUAGUGCAGGGCAGAAGUGCUGGAGAUUCACAUGACCUAAAUGAAGUUUUCUGUUUGAUUGAGGCCGCGGAUUUAGGUUUGUUUAUUUUGAGAUUAGUUCUUGCACUUUAGGUGUUUAACUUUAAAACUGUGCUAUGGCAGGUGUUGGCUCUGACUGCAGCUAGAAAAACCCAGUUCCUCUCCGGAUAUUACAGGGAAAUCAGUUUGAAGAUUUUAAUUUUUUGACGUAUACAGGUUUUUACUAGGAGGCACAGCACUGUGCAAGACUACACAAAUAUAUAUUAAGGCUUGGUACUACCAUGAAAAAUGUACAGAAUAGGACUACAACAAAUAGUUAUGAACCACAGACACUUAAAAAUGAAAAAACACUGCUGCAGUCUAAUUCUUGCCUAACAUUACAGGAUUCAAAUCUAAAAUGAAACAGAUUCUAGGUGUCUAAGUCUAAGGGAAGAACCAAAAAUCUGAGCUUGGUGCCAGCUAGGGCUCUAUGCUACAGAGUGAUUGUGAACACUUGUUUGACUAGUAUAGACAAAACCUGUGUAUAAUCAGGGAAGACACGGUGCCACAAUCAAACAUCCCAGAUCCUUAUCUUGCCCCCUUCAACUUAAUUCCAUAAUUAGCACUUAGAUCACAGAGAGGUUGGAACUAUUAUCCAGGCCUCUCCUUCAGCAUUACACUAUCUCAGACAAGUCUCUGCCUGUAAGGAUUUGCUUUCUUUAAAACUUUCACCCAGUCCCAUGGUUAACUUGACUUAAGUCAGCAAACUGCCAACAAAACUCUGAAAUUUAGAAAUAGCUUAAGCUCAGCCCAUUUCUGCCUUCAGAUCAGUUGGUUUUACAGUUCCCAAGCGCCAUCAUUCUGCAUCCAGCUGGCAUCCAUUUGACUACAUUUGCUGCUGCUGGGGGGGCAGGAACCAACCACCCUCGUUGCUGAGUCUUAUCCUGUAAAUUCGGCUAAAACAAACUAGUGCACGCCAUCUCGUGGCCCUGCACUGCUAUUUCCCGGGAACGAAGGGAGCUCCGAUUGCGGCGAGGUUUGAUGUGGACAGGAUUUAAAAGAUGGCUUUCAGAGGCUCAGACACAGCCCCACCUUCUGAUCCACUCUCCCCCAGCUAAGAAAUGUUCACCAUUAGUGCUUUGUCCACACUCCUGCCUUGACCUUGCAGCCCAAGCAGCUGUUUCCUGGAGCAGCAGCAGAGCAUCCGACUGCAGAAGGCACUUCAGCACAUGCUGAUAUGGCUGUCACCUCAUGUUUUGAGGCAACCCUGUCCUCAAAACACAUCAGGGUGCCCGUGCACACAGCCCCAGACCAGCUUUUGGUGGAGCAGGAAAUUACCGUAUUACAUUUUAGAGUAUGUAAAUAAUUUUUAAUUACAUGCGAGGCUGGGGAUGUUCAUGGUACAUCCAUUUUCAUUUGCUGUCAGGACUUGUUAAAGAACUCCAUGUGUCAGUGCUUUAAAGCUAAUGUGCCUUUUCCUAACUGUUCAUUAACAGCUGAAUAUAUGAACUCAUGAAAAUAAGGUUACAUCAGCUGCCAGUCCUUUGGUGUAGCUUAAGUUCCUAUUCCUCCUUACUCUCUCUCUUUUGGUGGGAAAAUCAAGUCAUUAAGAGACCCUUGCCAGAGGUAAUUAAGGUACAAUUUCAUCACAUCAAGUUGAGGGAAUUAGAUAAAGAGGGACAGAGUACAACAGUAUGACUUCAAGGCCUGUGUUUUCAUUUUAAGUAAUAAAUGUUCAACUUUGCAAUGUUUAUGACUUUUUAGCUGAGAGAUUACAGCUUAAAACUGCACCACUGAAUCAUCUCCAAAUCUGAAGUCACAUUUUCUUCAGUAGAAUUGCUGAUGGUAACACUGCCUUACUUCCACUGCUCUCGUAGCUGUCAAAAUGCUGGAUUUAUAGUCAGCAGCAAGAGACUUAAAAUAGCUAACAGAAAUGUUAAACUUCAGACUAAGCAUCUUCUUUUGUCUGCUACUAGAGACAAGUGCACAAGACCUAUGACAGUUUGCAGCUUGCUGUUGCAAAGCAUAGAAUCGUGCCAGAGAACACUGUGCCAUACUGCAAGAACAAAAACUUCUACCCAAGGACUCUAGUUAAAAACAUCUGAUCACAAUCAGCAACUGCUCUAAAUUUGGUUUGUGAUAAACAUUUUCACUCUUCUUGCGUUGGAAGUGUGUUGGAACAAAGCUGCAGGAAAGGCUGUUAGACUUGUGAGGCUCAAUGAAGUUUGAUACCAACAUACUUUCUCUGUUGGAGGAAAGAAAAGAGGGAACAUCCUUCUUCUCAUGUCAAGGUUUAAUUCUGAGGUAUACGACACUGGAUUUACAAAGGUAAAUAAAAAUACAUUCUGAGAAACAACAAGUGCCCUACUUAGCAAGGCAGAGGGAUUUCACACUCCAAGCAGCUGAGAAAGGAAACUGCUUACAGUAUGAAAAAGUAUUUGGGGUCUGUCUUUGACAUGGGCUUUUGCCAUAACAGAUUAUGAGAAAUGCACAGCAGUGGGGCAGAGGAGAGACAAAUACUUAGGUGAUAAAGAGAAGACAGGACAACAGGUAUUAGAUAAGGCUUCCACUUGAACAAAUUAUUUGAGACAUUACCAUUAUGAUCAGAAGUCAGAUGCAACUACUGUUCCAAACACUGCUCAGGCAAGCUACAUUGCCAAAAUUAAUUACACAGCUGUUGAGACAGACUUCAGCUCGAGCCUGCUGAUGAUAGGGGUAAGUUUGCAUAUGCUUGUAGCAACCACAUACAAAUGAAAUCUCAGUAAUACAGAAGGACUGGAGUGCUACAGAAGAGUUUUCCACAUCAACUGUAUUUGGUAACAAAAGCAAAUGCUAGCACCUGGAGUACAGUGCACAUAACAGUUUCUACAAGUGUAUCAUCUACAGUUAAUCUGCAAUUUUUGUCCUAAAUAUGAAUUUAAAAAGCCAAGUAUGAAUCAUAUGCAGGCAGAUUUAAUGACUCAUUGCCGCAAUAGAUUUAACCACAAGUGCUGAUCCUGCCUGCCAUUAAGAUGUCUGGCAUUCCCUCUUGGAUCCAUUCCUCUGGAAGGUGGCCCUUUCACAGAUCUGUGAUCCAGAGAGCUAAGCUUAAAGAAUUAAAAAAAAAAAAAAGAUAUUUUGUCACACAAGGAAUAAAAUUCCAGGAAUUUAUUGCUAUAUGUAUGCUUAAUCCAUUAAGUCAUCUUACAGUAGUCAUGAAGUGCCAAAUUGUGUGCUACAUUUAACAUUCCAUGUAUUCCCUUCCCAAUGCUGUUUUACAGUGGGCGUAUGAAACAACUCAGCAGUGGUCACGAAACAUGGCUUGAGCAUCUCUCAAGAGCUUAAAGACAAAGAUUUGUGUACAAGCUGAAUAACAGCAUGUCAGUUAACAGGCCACUCAGCAAUUUGAACAGAAAUAUCUUUAGGUGGAAGUUUUGCAGCGUUAAAAUUCACAACUCAGACUAAACAUUCUCAUCCCCACUGCAGAAACAAGAUACUUGCAAAGAACAAGAACUAUGGUACGUAAAUGUCACACGCAGGACCCGCUCCAUUGCUGUCAGAAGCACAAGUUGCUAAUUAUAAGCAAGGACAAGCCUGGCAGGGUAAGGCUGUCAGCCUGUAUUAAAAACAUAUACCUCAGAGUUUGGCAGUGGAACUCUGUUUACCACCUUGACUUUUUUUUGGUAACAUACAAGUUCUUCCUCCCCCCCCCCCCUUUAUAAAUCCCCUUUUAUUUUUAUUAUACCUCCAUAUUAUUUACAGGACUUCUAAAGAUUAAGUACAAACUAGUAUGAAAUUAAUGAUAGCUUGCUUUUCAAAUAUGUAUCCCAUGGCUAAAUAAAUACCAAGCCAAUCCAACAGAGUGAUCUGGAGUUAUGAUUCAGAAGCUUGUACAUCUGUGAUUCCAGUUGUUUUUUCAUUAGCUGCAGAGGAUUCAUUUGAUCUGUCAACAAUAGUUGCCCUGGAGGUUGGGGUAGCACUAUCCAAGGUGAGUGCAGAGGUCUCCUCUACAUUUUCAGGAGUGCCAGGGUUGAUGGAAAAGCUUCCAGCUUGAGUGAUAGAGGGAAGCAAAUCUGUAGGCACUGUAGAUGCCUCUGUGACCAAAGGAAGCAUAGGAACACACUUGGGUGGCAUUGACAGAGGUGUUAU